RNAcentral lists this ribosomal RNA (250 nucleotides) under uncultured bacterium. Its description in RNAcentral is "partial 16S ribosomal RNA". It matches the Rfam family "Bacterial small subunit ribosomal RNA", at positions 524 to 773 of the family's 1533-position model. The record is from RNAcentral.
UACAGAGGUCCCAAGCGUUGUUCGGAUUUACUGGGCGUAAAGGAUGCGUAGGAGGUUGUCUAAGUCGGAUGUGAAAUCUUGCAGCUUAACUGCGAAACUGCAUUCGAUACUGGAUAGCUGGAGGAUCGGAGAGGUCGCUGGAAUUCUCGGUGUAGCGGUGAAAUGCGUAGAUAUCGAGAGGAACAUCAAUUGCGAAAGCAAGCGACUGGAAGAUACCUGACUCUGAGGCAUGAAAGCCAGGGGAGCAAAC